GUGUAUCAGUAUCUGGAGUUCUGUGAUGACAUACUGGUGUUGGAGAGUGGAAAGAUAAAGGAGUCAGGGACACACAAAGCUCUGAUGAAAGCUAAAGGCCGAUACGCACAGAUGAUCAACAACUUCCAGAUGGAGCAUUCACAGGUAAGAUCUCCCGUUAUCCAUCUGGUUUCAGAGCCAAUAGAUACAGGUAAGAUCUCCUGUUAUCCAUCUGGUUUCAGAGCCAAUAGAUACAGGUAAGAUCUCCCGUUAUCCAUCUGGUUUCAGAGCCAAUAGAUACAGGUAAGAUCUCCCGUUAUCCAUCUGGUUUCAGAGCCAAUAGAUACAGGUAAGAUCUCCCGUUAUCCAUCUCUACCUCUGGUUUCAGAGCCAAUAGAUACAGG
Molecule: long non-coding RNA, 383 nt
Organism: Oncorhynchus tshawytscha (Chinook salmon)
Lineage: Eukaryota; Metazoa; Chordata; Actinopteri; Salmoniformes; Salmonidae
Source: Ensembl